UUAAAGGAGUUACAGACUUCCGAGUGUGUGUGUGUUGUGUACGCGUGUGUGUAUGUGUGCGUGCGUGUGUGUGCGUGCGUGUGAAUACGACGAGCCAUUUUCGUAUUUAAUCUCUUCCUACUCUUCUUCGCGCAUUUGUUCUCUUGGUAAUCGCUCGCACCGCUCGAUGUUUCCGUUUCCGCUGUACCGUGACAUUUGAACUUUCCGUUUAUUUAUCCAGUCUGUUGCGUGUCGACGACGCGGCAGGAGGAACAUGGCGUCGUUCGUCGAAACCGAAGCGAAACGAACGAACGUCGAAAGAGAGCCAGGAGAAAAAUGAAUCGAUCGCUUUUUCUCCCCUUCUUUUUUUUUCUCUUAUUUUUUCUUAUUCGUCUUUCUUUCCUACGAUUUUUCGCGGCCAGGAUAUCACUUUCUCUUUCGGGGAGGAGCAGAAAAGACCACGAAUAACGAAGGGCAAAGCGAUUCGUGCACGGUCGAAGGAUUCAAAAUCGAAGCCGGCCACCGGACUGUGACAAGACCCGAAUCGAAUUCUAUUCGCAGCCCCGGAAUUCGAUUCGCGACGAGGUUGUUGUCCGCCCGGAACGAACGAAAUCCAGAGUUUCGCUCGACGCGCCUCUUUCCCUUUCUCUCACGCGUUCCACGAACGAGAAACGGAUCCGAGAAACGUCGAUGCGCGCCGUUCCUUUGACGAUCUUUUCUAUUCUUUUCUUUUCGCGUUUACGAUUGCUUUCGAAAACGAUUUUAUUCGAUAAAUAACGCGGGACUUAUCGUGAAUUGUUCGUUUGUAGGAAAAACGGUUUGUAAAAAUCCUCGAUUUCAAUCUUAUUAUCGCGCGAGAGAAACUAUUGUCCUAUAUUAUACUUUAUUUCGUCCUACUUAUCUUAAACUUCCGUUUCGGCAGUGGGAAUGUGUGCUAUUCUUUUUUUUUUUCCUUUCCUUUUCUAUUAACCUCGACCGAUCUCGUCGCAACUUUACCGGGAGCGGAGGAAAAUCGAUGCAUUCUCUACGUUUUCGAAAGAUUUAUCGAACGAGCUCGGUAACGGGAUUCGAGUUAGCUUGGAAAACCGCCUCUACUCGAUCGGUGACGGAUGAAAAAGGAACGAAAAAAAACGUAAUCGUGUAUCGGCGCGAACGCAGAAAUAGCGAUCCUCGAGGCGAAUCCGUAACGGGGGAUCCCUCCGCUUAAUGGACCACGACCUAUCCACGUUUCGCGCAGUUUUCACGAAUCGAAAAAUCCCCGAAACUUUUUCCCCUCCGAUUAUUCUCUCUCUCUCGAGCCGUGGCGCGAGUCGUUGCCCACCGUUCCGGCCGCGCGUGUGCGACUCCAACUUCCUUCAACUUCGUUUCAACAUCCUCGAGAAACUUGCGCCGAGAAACGUUGACUGGCUCGAGUUUCGAGAUUAUACGCUACUUUUCUCUCCUCCUCCUCCUCCUCCUCUUUCUCUUCCUUUUCCUCUGCCACUCUCUGGAUCCCUUUCGACCGUUGUUCGCGCCCGCGUGAUCCAAGCGGAAAGUUGGAAGAAAGAACCGCCACGGGUGGAUAGGAACGCAAGAGUGUGUUGUGACGGAGGGGAGUGGGGAGUGGUAGGAUUCGAUCGGACGCGUGAUCGAUACUUUCGCGGGGAUGUCUGCGAGGAUGAUCACAUCGAAACACACACACACACAAAUAGAAAGUGAAAACUCGUCGUUGUUUUCAAUUCCGCGGACGGGGUGGAUCCAGCGCGAUGAUCGGCGAACCUCGACACGCCGUUUGAAGAAGAAAAGAAAAGAAGAGAAACUGUGGAGAGAGAAUGGGAAGCGAUUUCGAGAAGGAAGGAGGAGAGAUACGUAGUAAAAAGGAGGAGGUUUCGUUUUCGAGAAAGGUUUGGCGUUCGUACACGGUUCGCGGAUCAUCGAACAGGAGGAACGGCGAGUUUGUACGAGGCUUGGCUCGAAGCGGGAUCAUCGCCUUCCACGACCGGUGCCUCGUUCAGAAUCGGCCAUGAUCCGGCGCUCGAUUAUCGAUCCGCGUCGAAGGGAUCGUUGGGAUGAUGCUACUCCGCCCGCGAAACUCCAUUUCCACGCGGCAAACGCGAUUACUAGAUCCAGCGCACAUCAGGUGUUCAGGUGUGAGAGACAAAGAGAGAGAGAGAGAGAGAGAGAGAGAGAGACAG
This 2153-nucleotide long non-coding RNA is filed under the name Apis florea (little honeybee). RNAcentral's name for it is "uncharacterized LOC116414978". The record is from RNAcentral. Lineage: Eukaryota; Metazoa; Arthropoda; Insecta; Hymenoptera; Apidae.